This 526-nucleotide ribosomal RNA is filed under the name uncultured bacterium. RNAcentral's name for it is "bacterial SSU rRNA". It matches the Rfam family "Bacterial small subunit ribosomal RNA", at positions 984 to 1509 of the family's 1533-position model. The record is from RNAcentral.
ACAUCCAGCGAACUUGGCAGAGAUUGCCUUGGUGCCUUCGGGAACGCUGAGACAGGUGCUGCAUGGCUGUCGUCAGCUCGUGUUGUGAAAUGUUGGGUUAAGUCCCGCAACGAGCGCAACCCUUAUCCUUUGUUGCCAGCGAUUCGGUCGGGAACUCAAAGGAGACUGCCGGUGAUAAACCGGAGGAAGGUGGGGAUGACGCCAAGUCAUCAUGGCCCUUACGAGUAGGGCUACACACGUGCUACAAUGGCGCAUACAAAGAGAAGCGACCUCGCGAGAGCAAGCGGACCUCAUAAAGUGCGUCGUAGUCCGGAUCGGAGUCUGCAACUCGACUCCGUGAAGUCGGAAUCGCUAGUAAUCGUGGAUCAGAAUGCCACGGUGAAUACGUUCCCGGGCCUUGUACACACCGCCCGUCACACCAUGGGAGUGGGUUGCAAAAGAAGUAGGUAGCUUAACCUUCGGGAGGGCGCUUACCACUUUGUGAUUCAUGACUGGGGUGAAGUCGUAACAAGGUAAGCGUAGCGAG